GGCGAGGUAGCUCAGCUGGUUAGAGCGCAGGAUUCAUAAUCCUGAGGUCGGGAGUUCAAGUCUCCCUCUCGCUA
RNAcentral lists this transfer RNA (74 nucleotides) under Flavobacteriales bacterium. RNAcentral describes it as "tRNA-Met". It matches the Rfam family "tRNA". Rfam says of the family: Transfer RNA (tRNA) molecules are approximately 80 nucleotides in length. Lineage: Bacteria; Pseudomonadati; Bacteroidota; Flavobacteriia; Flavobacteriales. RNAcentral also lists the same sequence under 1 other name. The record is from RNAcentral.